This 250-nucleotide ribosomal RNA is filed under the name uncultured bacterium. RNAcentral describes it as "partial 16S ribosomal RNA". It matches the Rfam family "Bacterial small subunit ribosomal RNA", at positions 335 to 603 of the family's 1533-position model. The record is from RNAcentral.
GUCCUACGGGGGGCAGCAGUGGGGAAUAUUGCACAAUGGGGGAAACCCUGAUGCAGCGACGCCGCGUGAGUGAAGAAGUAUCUCGGUAUGUAAAGCUCUAUCAGCAGGAAAGAUAAUGACGGUACCUGACUAAGAAGCCCCGGCUAACUACGUGCCAGCAGCCGCGGUAAUACGUAGGGGGCAAGCGUUAUCCGGAUUUACUGGGUGUAAAGGGAGCGUAUACGGCAGCGCAAGUCUGGAGUGAAAUGCC